Molecule: ribosomal RNA, 695 nt
Filed under: uncultured bacterium
Lineage: Bacteria
Description: bacterial SSU rRNA
Rfam family: Bacterial small subunit ribosomal RNA
Source: RNAcentral
AACGCUAGCUACAGGCUUAACACAUGCAAGUCGCGGGGCAGCAUUUUCUUAGCUUGCUAAGGGAGAUGGCGACCGGCGCACGGGUGAGUAACGCGUAUCCAACCUUCCCAUGUCCACGGGAUAGCCCGUCGAAAGGCGGAUUAAUACCGUAUGAGGUCACAAGCGGGCAUCUAAUUGUGACGAAAGGUUUGGCGGACAUGGAUGGGGAUGCGUCCGAUUAGCUUGUUGGCGGGGUAACGGCCCACCAAGGCAACGAUCAGUAGGGGUUCUGAGAGGAAGGUCCCCCACAUUGGAACUGAGACACGGUCCAAACUCCUACGGGAGGCAGCAGUGAGGAAUCUUGGUCAAUGGGCGCAAGGCCUGAACCAGCCACGUAGCGUGAAGGAAGACUGCCCUUAGGGUUGUAAACUUCUUUUAUAAGGGAAUAACGUCAGUAACGAGUUACUGAUUGCAUGUACCUUAUGAAUAAGGAUCGGCUAACUCCGUGCCAGCAGCCGCGGUAAUACGGAAGGUCCGGGCGUUAUCCGGAUUUAUUGGGUUUAAAGGGAGCGUAGGCCGGCUUUUAAGCGUGUUGUGAAAUGCCGCGGCUCAACCGUGGCACUGCAGCGCGAACUGGAGGCCUUGAGUGCGCGGGAGGUAGGCGGAAUUCGUGGUGUAGCGGUGAAAUGCUUAGAUAUCACGAAGAACUCCGAUUG